ACGGGGUGCAGCAGGCGCGAAACCUCCGCAAUACACGAAAGUGUGACGGGGUUACCCAAAGUGUUCAAUAGAACUGUGGUAGGUGAGUAAUGUUCCCUACUAGAAAGGAGAGGGCAAGGCUGGUGCCAGCCGCCGCGGUAAAACCAGCUCUUCAAGUGGUCGGGAUAAUUAUUGGGCUUAAAGUGUCCGUAGCCGGUUUAGUAAGUUCCUGGUAAAAUCGGGUAGCUUAACUAUCUAUAUGCUAGGAAUACUACUAUACUAGAGGGCGGGAGAGGUCUGAGGUACUACAGGGGUAGGGGUGAAAUCUUAUAAUCCUUGUUGGACCACCAGUGGCGAAGGCGUCAGACUGGAACGCGCCUGACGGUGAGGGACGAAAGCCAGGGGAGCGAACCGGAUUAGAUACCCGGGUAGUCCUGGCCGUAAACGAUGCAUACUAGGUGAUGGCACGGCCAUGAGCCGUGUCAGUGCCGUAGGGAAACCGUUAAGUGUGCCGCCUGGGAAGUACGGUCGCAAGGCUAAAACUUAAAGGAAUUGGCGGGGGAGCACCACAAGGGGUGAAGCCUGCGGUUCAAUUGGACUCAACGCCGGAAAACUUACCAGGGGAGACAGCAGUAUGACGGUCAG
RNAcentral lists this ribosomal RNA (624 nucleotides) under uncultured archaeon. RNAcentral's name for it is "bacterial SSU rRNA". It matches the Rfam family "Archaeal small subunit ribosomal RNA", at positions 325 to 957 of the family's 1478-position model. The record is from RNAcentral.